CACUGCUAAUGUCUUUGCAAAAUCAAUAGAUCUAUUAGCACUUGCACGGUUUCGGCAUCGGCCUGUUUGCUUGCCUAGCUGGUGCCUCAUAUAUUUGUUUUUGUGUCGUUGAAGAUAACUGCAUAAAUGUUUCGUGGCAUCGUUUGGCAGCAGAUUCUUUUUCCCUAUAACGUUGAACGCUCUACGAUAGUGAUGAGCAUCUUGAAAGGAAGAUUCUAGAUCCUGAGCGCUUGAGCAGGGUGGAAUCAAUUUUCGGCAAUCUUUCAGAAACCAUUAAAAUAUAUGGUCCUUGGUCUUCUGCAUGGGUAGGAGAAGCUGGAGGGGCAUACAACAGUGGUGGCAAUCAUGUUUCUAACAGAUUUCUAAACAGCUUUUGUGCAGUUUUGUGGCAUCGGUUAAUGGGAAAGAAGGUUCUUACGGUCUCCAGUGAUGUUCAUAUUAAAGACUUUUACCUACAGUUAGGAAAUGUAAGUAGAAGUUAAUGACUUUUACCUACAAUUGAAAAUGAUAGAUACAUAUUAAAAACUUUUUACCUACAGUUAGGAAAUGUAAGUAGAAGUUAAUGACUUUUACCUACACAUUAUACAUAGUAGGUAAAACCUAUAGUGACAGACAAUUAGCCGUCACUAUACCCCCCCCUCAAAGUUGACAGAGAAAACGUCCGUAGGACAAAGUCUAUCAUACAUUUACUUACGGAUUUUUUAUUUAUAGUGACAGUUUUUAUGCGUAGGUAUAUGUCAUUUUUCUUGUAGUGUGCUAGUAGUAGUAGUUAUGAGAGAUUCUCACAAUUACGUAUAGAAAUGAUAUACCGGGAUUUUGCAUGUGUAGACUUAUAAUGAGUUAUCGGAUCGAUUUA
Glycine soja is the source of this 856-nucleotide long non-coding RNA. RefSeq lists it as uncharacterized. NCBI's taxonomy places the organism in Eukaryota, Viridiplantae, Streptophyta, Magnoliopsida, Fabales, Fabaceae. The record is from RefSeq and is a predicted model, not a curated record. The transcript is spliced from 3 exons.